AUUGAACGCUGGCGGCAUGCUUUACACAUGCAAGUCGAACGGCAGCGCGUUUUGGGAAACCGAGAUGGCGGCGAGUGGCGGACGGGUGAGUAAUACAUCGGAACGUACCCAAUUGAGGGGGAUAACCUAGCGAAAGUUAGGCUAAUACCGCAUAAGCUUGAGAAAGGAAAGCAGGGGAUCUUCGGACCUUGCGCGAUUGGAGCGGCUGAUGACCGAUUAGCUAGUUGGUGGGGUAAAGGCCUACCAAGGCGACGAUCGGUAGCUGGUCUGAGAGGAUGAUCAGCCACACUGGGAAUAAGAGACGGCCCAG
Molecule: ribosomal RNA, 310 nt
Filed under: uncultured bacterium
Lineage: Bacteria
Description: bacterial SSU rRNA
Rfam family: Bacterial small subunit ribosomal RNA
Source: RNAcentral